Molecule: RNA transcript, 2510 nt
Organism: Hippoglossus stenolepis (Pacific halibut)
Lineage: Eukaryota; Metazoa; Chordata; Actinopteri; Pleuronectiformes; Pleuronectidae
Gene name: zinc finger protein aebp2
Exons: 10
Source: RefSeq, a predicted model, not a curated record
GCCCUCUCUGUGGUGACGGCGGCGCAGAGACACGGAAACUGUCCCACGGUGCAGAAAUGGCUGCUGAACCCACCGGAGAAACACCCGCUCUGGCUGCCGAGAACCACGCACCCUCUGCGGGGACAAGCGAGAGCAAUGGCGAGGACAAAGAGAAGGGCCUCACCGAAGCGGAACCAGCGGAACCAGGCGCUCACGUAGAGCCGAAGAUGGAAGAGGCGGGCGGGGAGGCCAGCGAGGAGAAGCCCGCUGAAGCUGCGGACAAGGCCCCGAGCGAGGCGGAGGCACACGACGGCACCGUAACGGUCAGCCAGGAGGAGACAGCCGCUCCCGAAGAACCGGAGGCGAAGCCCGAGCCCGAGCAGAGCCCCGGAGAGGGCAACAGCGAGCCCGCCAACCACAGCGCCAUGAAGGAGGCGAAGGAGGAACCGGGGGAGGACAGCCGGUGCUCGGAGGCGGACUGUGAGAAGAGCAAAGCGGUGUGUGAGGAUGGGGAGAAACCGAGCAGCGGAGGCGGGGAGCUGGACGACAAGAGGCGGCCCAGCGUGGAGAUAUCAUCCUCGGACGGUGAACCGCUGAGCCGCAUGGACUCGGAGGACAGUAUCAGCAGCACCCUGAUGGAGAUGGAGAGCACGGUGUCCAGCGGACGCUCCACUCCUGCUAUGAUGAACGGACAGAUCAACGCCAGCUCCUCUGUGGCUAAGACCGUGGCCUACUCCUGCUGCUGGGACCUCUGUCCGCAGUGCUUCAACUCAAGUCCUGAUCUGGCUGAGCACAUCAGGGGCAUUCAUGUGGAUGGACAGAGAGGAGGGGUGUUUGUGUGUCUGUGGAAGGGUUGUAAGGUGUAUAACACACCAUCCACCAGUCAGAGCUGGCUCCAGAGGCACAUGUUGACCCACAGCGGAGAUAAGCCCUUCAAGUGUGUAGUCGGUGGCUGUAACGCCAGCUUCGCCUCUCAGGGAGGUUUGGCUCGCCAUGUGCCGAGUCACUUCAGCCAGCAGAGCUCCUCUAAAAUGUCCAGCCAGGCCAAACUCAAAGAGGAGUCACCGUCAAAGGCUGGACUUAACAAGAGGAAGAAGCUCAAGAACAAACGCAGGUGCUCCCUACCGAGGCCCCACGACUUCUUCGAUGCUCAGACCAUGGAUGCUAUUCGCCACAGGGCCAUCUGUCUCAACCUCGCCACCCACAUCGAGAGCGUGGGCAAUGGCCACAGUGUGGUCUUUCACAGCACGGUGUUGGCCAGAAGGAAAGAGGGGUCUGGCAAGGUGAAGGUUCUCCUGCACUGGACACCUGAGGACAUACUACCUGACGUGUGGGUGAAUGAAACGGAGCGAUGUCAGCUGAAGACCAAAGUGGUGCACUUAUCCCAGUUACCGCAGGACACAGCCAUGCUGCUGGACCCAAACAUCUAUAGGUCCCCCGUAGUGUCUCCGGAGGAGUCGCAUGUUUGAACCCAAGUGUCUGAGAUUGAGGCUCCAAAUUAUCUGCAGACUUUCUCCGCCUGGCCUCCGAGUGUAAAGUCCAUAGAAAUUCAGGAGAAUUCGAUGUGAGAACACAGCAGGGGAUCCCCCGCUGGAUUGAUGCACCCCGCAAAGCACUUCCUCAAAAGCGGCUGAAGUGCAGCCUGUGAGGAGGCUCCUGUGGACUCGAUACUUAAGGGGAAAUCCUUGUGCAUAGGACAUUUAUCUGUAAGGGAUGGGACACUCUUCAUCUGUCUCUGCUGAACGGGGGAAGUGAAGAGGCGAUAAAAGGGAGUCCUCCUUUUUUAUAUAUUUUGUGUAUAUGAAACAAUGGUUGUAGCCAAGUGUGGUGGUAAAAUGGGACUAACAAUUUUUUAAAGAAACGUUUGUGUUCAUCAAAAACUUAAAUGAAUGUUUUUAAAUAAGCACCAAGCUGAACAUAUUCUUCAUACCCAAUGGUGUUAAAAGCUGUUUUGUGUACGUUUGUCAGAAGAUGCAGCAUCUUUUUAUAACUGUUUUGUGUAAAAUAUUUAUGCAGAUUUGUAACUUAUUUUUAUACCAUGUACUGUGGCUUUUUGUGAAGGUUUUGAAUAGAACCGUAUUUACUGUGAUAAUCUAUGUUAACUAUCACUUAUUGGGAUAUUUGAACAUUUCUAGUUGUAAUUAUGUUGUACAUAACAAAAGUCUUAACAGAUGAUCCUAUUUAUACUUCCUGAAUGCAGUACUGUUAGCUGUGUGUAGGACAGCCAGGUGUGACAUUGUGUCAGUCAUGUCAGACUUUGUAUUCAAUACAAUGCAAAAUGUUACAGAAGCAAUAACUCUGUAGUAGCUCUUAACCCAGUAUGUACAGUACUGCAUAAUAUGACUCUGACAUGUUAGCACACACUUAAAGUGUAAAUCACACCGGUUUAUCAACUUAAACAGGAACUUUGUAUAUCAUAGUCCAUAUGAUACAUUUACAUCACCGCCAUUUACAAUUAUUGAUAUGAAGUUGUGUUUUCUACUGUGUUUGGAAAUUGAACAUGUGUUUUUAAUAAAAUGGCGGAAUCGACA